CGGACAUGCAAGCACACAUGCGUGCCACGUGCGUUACUAAUUGCGCAGGCCGUGUCGUUCAUGUGCGAGUGUACACAGCCGCCCAUGCCUCUUGUAGGACGCCGGGUGAGAGCACGAACACGAACACCCCCGCCGCCGCCACGCGCGACGCAGUGCGCCUCCCAGCCAGCUCGCGGCACGCCAAGCCCUGCGAGCGCGCCGCGCCUCAGUGAUGUCACACGGGCUGGAAGCUUCACGAACCCCGCGGUGCGCGGUCGAAGCAUCCCGCACCCCAACACCGUCCAGCAGUGGAUAGAGCCUUGGCGUGCGCCUCUAACCCAGCUGCUUGGAGGAGGCGUGGGUUGCGGGAUCUCUUGAGGACGGGAGAGUCCUGCGCUGUGAGGCUCUCUAUGCCGACCGGGCGUCCGCACCAAGUUCGGUAUCAAUAUGG
Molecule: non-coding RNA, 430 nt
Organism: Petromyzon marinus (sea lamprey)
Lineage: Eukaryota; Metazoa; Chordata; Hyperoartia; Petromyzontiformes; Petromyzontidae
Source: RefSeq, a predicted model, not a curated record